CCUACGGGUGGCAGCAGUGAGGAAUAUUGGUCAAUGGGCUUACGCCUGAACCAGCCAAGUCGCGUGAGGGAAGACUGCCCUAUGGGUUGUAAACCUCUUUUGUCAGGGAGCAAUUGGCGCUGCGUGUAGCGUUAUCGAGAGUACCUGAAGGAAAAGCAUCGGCUAACUCCGUGCCUGCCGCCGCCGUAAUACGGGAGAUGCGAUCGUGAUCCGGAUUUAGUGGGUUUACAGGGUGCGUAGGCGGAAUGCCAAAUCAGCGGUAAAAUCGCGGGGCUCAACCUCGCACCGCCGUGGAGACUGGCGGUCGUGAGUGGGCGAGAAGGAGGCGGAAUGCGUGGUGUAGCGGUGAAAUGCAUAGAUAUCACGCAGAACACCGAUUGCGAAGGCAGCAUACCGGCGCCCAACUGACGCUGAAGCACGAAAGCGUGGGGAUCGAACAGGAUUAGAUACCCCUGUAGUC
RNAcentral lists this ribosomal RNA (460 nucleotides) under uncultured bacterium. RNAcentral describes it as "partial 16S ribosomal RNA". It matches the Rfam family "Bacterial small subunit ribosomal RNA", at positions 338 to 795 of the family's 1533-position model. The record is from RNAcentral.